AACUGAUACUACCUGCGGGAACCUGCGGAAGGAUCAUUACAACAAGGUUCCCUGGCCCUCGAAGCUUCGGCGGAGGGGUGCUACAGCCUGACUUUAUACCCACCCUUUGCCUAUGUGUACCCCUAUUGCUUCCCUCGGCGGGUUCGCCCGCCGACAGGAACCAACUAAACCCUUUGCAUUAUACAUUUAACACUUCCGAUACAAAACUAAAUUAUUACAACUUUCAACAACGGAUCUCUA
Molecule: unclassified non-coding RNA, 240 nt
Filed under: soil metagenome
Description: partial contains 5.8S ribosomal RNA, internal transcribed spacer 2, and large subunit ribosomal RNA
Source: RNAcentral